CGGACUGUAAGUGUGAUUAAGUGAUGAAAGCCUGCCUGAAAAGAAAUAUUUUUUAUCAUCGGCUAGAGGAGAGCAGGGAGUGGGACAUUCUGACUUCUGUCUCCUCCAGCACAAUAAUAAAUAAUAAUAAUACUUUAUUUUUCUAUCCCGCCACCAUCUCCCCGAAGGGACUCAGGGCAUCUAACAUGGGACCAAGCCUAAAACAGAACAAAACAAGUUAAAACAAGUAUCAAUAACUAAAAACAAUGUCAACACAGCAAUCAAAUAAAAUAAACAAUUAAAUAAUUCAAUUGCAAUUAAAACACAAAAUACAAUAUGCAACCAUCAUUACUAUAUGAAAUUGAGGUAGUAAAACAAGCAUCACCACUGAUGGAUAAAAUGGGGGCAGUUGUAUAAAAGUGCAUAAUUUCAAGACCAUUUAAAUAAAGUGCAUGGACAUGAGUCAGAGGAUUUCCUGAGAAGAUUUGGGAUAGAAUGGAUAGGGAGGAAAAUAAAGUGUGAGGAAGCAGCAGAUGUUGACCAUAGGGUUGCACUGGAGGACCUCUCAUAUAAGAAAAAUAGCAACUCCAGUAAAUGUAGAGGACUGAUUCAAGUUGCAUUCACCAUGUGUUAGAGUCAGCUGUCAUGGAGGUCUGAAUUAUUAUAUCCAAAGCAAAUUAGUGGUCUGGAGGCAAAUAGAGGAACAAGAGAGAAACAUUUUAAGGAGGCGAAGCUGUGUUCCAGUUUCCUGAUGUCAAAAUGAUUAAGUUAGGUAAAUCAGGAGGCUACAGCUGCAUUUACUGAAUAUACACAGAAACCUAUUUGAUCAAUCCUUUACACCUGGAUUAAAUGAGUGCAACAUUUCAGCUGACUUAGCAUGAUACAAUUGGCAAUCUCUGCACCUUUUCAAACUGUUACUUACAAACACCAUCAAAUUCUCCUCUCCUGGCUUCAGCACAUUCUAACAACUCCAUUCCUCCAUAGCUCCCUGUUUUCUGCUUCCUACAGGCGGGAGGGCUGAUAAACCAGCCCAGGCUCCCGUUCAACAAAUUAAGACAAAAAUUGAGAAUGGGAAGAAUGGAACAGCUAUACAAGGCCCUUUCAACUGGCAACAUGAGGAAUUAUCUGUUAGGAUGCACCUCAUUUCAGUGGAGGAUGGUUCAUAUGUUGGAUGCAAGGUACUUCAGGGGAUUGCAAGAUGAAACAAUCAGACUUUCCUCACCUUCUUUGUCACUUCUUCCAAAGGGGAACUGUGUUGCCCUUCUGGACAAGCAUGAUGGAAAGAAACAGAACAAAACGGAAUCUCAUCUAUUUCAGGAGGCAUUCAUGCUCCUCGACCCAACAUUUUCCCCAGAGGACUGUGGCCUGUAAUCCCUUUAAACUAUUCCAGCAAGCACAAACAAUAUUGCUCUACUAAAGUCUAUCCCUUGCCCCACUCUACCAAUAAUUAUAAUCAUAAUCAUA
Anolis carolinensis (green anole) is the source of this 1443-nucleotide long non-coding RNA. RefSeq lists it as uncharacterized. The transcript is spliced from 3 exons. NCBI's taxonomy places the organism in Eukaryota, Metazoa, Chordata, Lepidosauria, Squamata, Anolidae. The record is from RefSeq and is a predicted model, not a curated record.